CCUACGGGUGGCAGCAGUGGGGAAUAUUGCGCAAUGGGCGCAAGCCUGACGCAGCGACGCCGCGUGAGGGAUGAAGGUCUUCGGAUCGUAAACCUCUGUCAGCAGGGAAGAACGGUCACUGUGCUAAUCAGCAGUGAAUUGACGGUACCUGCAAAGGAAGCACCGGCUAACUCCGUGCCAGCAGCCGCGGUAAUACGGAGGGUGCGAGCGUUAAUCGGAAUUACUGGGCGUAAAGCGCUCGUAGGCGGUAUGUCAAGUCAAGGGUGAAAUCCCCGCGCUCAACGUGGGCACUGCCGUUGAAACUGGCAAACUGGAGUGUGGGAGAGGAUAGUGGAAUUCGAGGUGUAGGGGUGAAAUGCGUAGAGAUCGGGAGGAACAUCGGUGGCGAAGGCGACUAUCUGGCACACAACUGACGCUGAGGAGCGAAAGCGUGGGUAGCAAACAGGAUUAGAUACCCUUGUAGUC
RNAcentral lists this ribosomal RNA (465 nucleotides) under uncultured bacterium. Its description in RNAcentral is "partial 16S ribosomal RNA". It matches the Rfam family "Bacterial small subunit ribosomal RNA", at positions 338 to 795 of the family's 1533-position model. The record is from RNAcentral.